RNAcentral lists this unclassified non-coding RNA (205 nucleotides) under uncultured fungus. RNAcentral describes it as "sequence contains ITS1". Lineage: Eukaryota; Fungi. The record is from RNAcentral.
UUGAUUAUUUAAUCGUUUUCUCAGACUGCACGGUUGUCAGGAUUCGGUACUCAGGCGGGCACGGGCCAGCCGCGAGGCCGACAUCCCCCUGCGGAGAUGGCCCACCGAAGCUGCUUGACAGCUUAUAAUUAGACAAGGAUGGGAGCAGAGGGGUUUUGGGCCUCUGGACUCGGUAAUGAUCCUUCCGCAGGUUCACCUACGGAAA